GAUGAACGCUAGCGGCAGGCCUAAUACAUGCAAGUCGGACGGGAUUGGAGAGCUUGCUUUCCAUGAGAGUGGCGCACGGGUGCGUAACACGUAUGUAACCUACCUUCGUCAGGGGGAUAGCCUCUCGAAAGAGAGAUUAAGACCGCAUAACAUUAUGAUGCAGCAUUGCAUUAUAAUCAAAUAUUUAUAGGACGAAGAUGGGCAUGCGGAACAUUAGCUAGUUGGUGAGGUAACGGCUCACCAAGGCGACGAUGUUUAGGGGAUCUGAGAGGAUGACCCCCCACACUGGUACUGAGACACGGACCAGACUCCUACGGGAGGCAGCAGUAAGGAAUAUUGGUCAAUGGACGGAAGUCUGAACCAGCCAUGCCGCGUGCAGGAAGACGGCCCUAUGGGUUGUAAACUGCUUUUGCAGGGGAAUAAACCCCGAUACGUGUAUCGGGCUGAAUGUACUCUGAGAAUAAGG
Molecule: ribosomal RNA, 466 nt
Filed under: Bacteroidetes bacterium 0-9
Lineage: Bacteria; Pseudomonadati; Bacteroidota
Description: bacterial SSU rRNA
Rfam family: Bacterial small subunit ribosomal RNA
Source: RNAcentral